RNAcentral lists this ribosomal RNA (83 nucleotides) under Porphyromonas sp. Its description in RNAcentral is "partial 16S ribosomal RNA". The stretch from base 1 to 74 matches the Rfam family "Bacterial small subunit ribosomal RNA", at positions 1460 to 1533 of the family's 1533-position model. The record is from RNAcentral. Lineage: Bacteria; Pseudomonadati; Bacteroidota; Bacteroidia; Bacteroidales; Porphyromonadaceae.
GGGUAAUACAGGUGACUGGGGCUAAGUCGUAACAAGGUAGCCGUACCGGAAGGUGCGGCUGGAACACCUCCUUUCUGGAGUUC